GCUUAUUUGGUGAAAUCGGUAAACACGAUAGACUUAAAAUCUGUUCCUAUCAGGUUGUCGGUUCAAGUCCGACAAUAAGCA
RNAcentral lists this transfer RNA (81 nucleotides) under Prasiola crispa. Its description in RNAcentral is "tRNA-Leu". It matches the Rfam family "tRNA". From Rfam's summary of the family: Transfer RNA (tRNA) molecules are approximately 80 nucleotides in length. Their secondary structure includes four short double-helical elements and three loops (D, anti-codon, and T loops). Lineage: Eukaryota; Viridiplantae; Chlorophyta; Trebouxiophyceae; Prasiolales; Prasiolaceae. The record is from RNAcentral.